AUUCCGAAGGUAGCGGCGAGCGAAAUCGGAACAGCCCUUAAGCUGUUUUGUAAUUAGUGGAAGGCUCUGGAAAGUGCCACGAUACAGGGUGAUAGUCCCGUACACAAAAAUUUAUAAGCAGUGAAAUCGAGUAGGUCGGAGCACGUGAAACUUUGACUGAAUAUAGGUGGACCAUCAUCUAAGGCUAAAUACUCCCAACUGACCGAUAGUGAACCAGUACCGUGAGGGAAAGGCGAAAAGAACCCCUGUGAGGGGAGUGAAAUAGAACCUGAAACCGUAUACGUACAAGCAGUAGGAGCCUACUUGUUAUGUGCCUGCGUACCGUGUGUAUAAUGGGUCAGCGACUUAUAUUCUGUAGCGAGGUUACGCGAUGAGGGUAGCCGUACCGAAACCCAGUCUU
RNAcentral lists this ribosomal RNA (400 nucleotides) under Pseudoalteromonas citrea. Its description in RNAcentral is "partial 23S ribosomal RNA". It matches the Rfam family "Bacterial large subunit ribosomal RNA", at positions 234 to 685 of the family's 2925-position model. Lineage: Bacteria; Pseudomonadati; Pseudomonadota; Gammaproteobacteria; Alteromonadales; Pseudoalteromonadaceae. The record is from RNAcentral.